CAGAUGCAAAAGGGAAGGGAGAAACCUCCGGGCCAGCGGGUGACUCAGUGCUAGUGGGCCCGCUUAGUCACCUGGAUGGCUGCUCCUGGCUCCUGGCACAUCAGGCAGGGAGCAGUGCCCUCCCCCACCUGCUAUCAACAGCAGGGCUGUCAAAGGUAGAGUGGCCCAGGAGUGCCAGCUGGCCCAGGGCUUCCUGGCAGGCGGCACUGGCGAGCUCUGGCUGCCUUCCCCGUGCUGGCCGCGGAGGGCUCCUCCUCCACCGUGCACCCAGGCUCACUUAGGGAUUUCUCCAUUAAAUCCUCAGGCAACGACCGACUCCUUUAGGAUGCUGAGCUGCUCCAACGUUGCUUGGCAAUUUUGAUAUCGUCGGAGGUUGCCAUGGGGAGGAGGGUGAUGUCAUUGACACAAAAAAAACCCCACUGAAUUUACAAAUCAGCUGGGGCUGGAGCUAUUUAUAAAAAGACGUUUUUCCCCUGCCUUCCUUUACUGAGGGGGAGGGAGAGGAUGGGCUGCCUGCUUGGCUCAGUGGAAGCCUCCCCCCAGUCUCCCAGUAGCCAGACUGCCUGGGCGCUCCACCCCCGCAGAGUGGCGGGACUGAGACCCGGCAGGCCCUAGCCAUAGCCGGCUGAGCCCUCUUUUGGGGUCUUGGCUGGCUGUGCGGUGAAGGGCGGAGAGAGUGGCACGUGAUGGGUGCUGGGCAGGGUGAGUGCCGGCUUCCUGGCUUGGCAGGGACCAGAAGCCAGCCACUUAACUGGACCCCUUCCUGUCACUACUUCUGGUCAGAAACAGGGGCAUGUGCAGGUAAGCAGCUUGAGCUGCUCCGGGUGCCCCCUGCCCCUGCAAGCUCCCCCGAGUGCACCACAAUGCCCUCCCUACUUCUGAGCUUCCCUGGCUCCUUUUCUUCUCCAGUGUACAACUGUGGGUGCUCAAGUCCCAGUGCAGCUCCCUGCUCCUCUCUGCCGCACUCACCCGCACUCCUGGAACACCGCACUGUGGCUUCCACCGUCACCCUGGACAUGCUGGACCCAGAGGCCCCGCCUGGCUGGGGUGCAGGCACAGGCCCUGCUGGCCAGCUCCAGCUCCUGCUCCCCAGCCCACCGCAGCUGAUGGCAGCCAGAGGGAAGCCUGCUGUUUUCCUUGACUUUUCCCACCCCCAGGCCUUUACCUCCAAGGUGGCUCUAGGUUGCUCAUAAUAUUUUUGAAAAUUCUUUCAUACAUAUUCUUCCAUAGUGAAGUAAUAUGGUGUUUGGUGAAAAGCCCAGGCUCUGAGUUUUCACACCUGAGUUCCCAUCUCAGCUCUGCCGUUCAUCAGCCAAGGUUUGGCAUUAACUUCAGCAUGUUAUUUAACCAACUGUACUCAGUUUUCCUCAUCCAUAAAGUGGGGAUGAGUUCACCUGCCUCACAGGGCUGUGGGGAUUAAAUGAACAGAGCUCCAGGCACAGGGACUGCUCAUCCUGGGAGCUCAGUCAACAUUUUCUUCUUAGUUUUCGUGAUGUUUGUUGUUUAUUCUUACCCACCCACCAACUGGUGGCAGGUUAAUCUUCCAAACCACGACCCCAGUCCGUCCUGUGCAAAAGUCUCAAGCUGCACACAUAGACAUUUUGACUGACUGCCACUGAAUUGGACUACAUGACAUUAAUCAUAAAAACUUCAAUUAGUCAGGUCCUCUAGCAGCCUUGGAACCCACCCCAGCUCCAUCUAGAGCAGGAAAUAAAUUUUUUGACAGGUAAUUAACUCCUAGCACUGAUGAGAAGCCUGGAGAAUCAAGUGCAGGACAGAAGCCAGAGCAGCCUCGAAGUCUCCAGGCAUCAGGAUGGACUCUGCAGCCUCCACACUGCCCUGUCCCUGGACAGAAGGUGCUCCCACCAUGCGUACCAACUAGUGCACCUCUGAGUCUGAGAAUCUGGCUGGUGGGUUCACUGCCCACCUCUGCCAUUGGUGGAGGGGAGGGUAUCCUGGGCACAGUGCUUCUGUUGUCACAUAUGUGGGGAGGAAAAUUGGGGUGCUGUUACUAAAGGAAAGGGGAAUGGGUGCUGGAUGCCAAAGCUAGCCAGUGGUCACCACCGCAUCUUUGCCAUUUUUCCUAAUCAUUUUUAAUUCCCGAGUGUGAUAAUCAGCAGUUGUUGAUUGUUUUAUCUUCUUGUCUUUGUGGACUUCUGAAAACUGAUGGCCAGCAUAAACAGACCUGUCUCUCUGCUCCGUAGUGUUGCAUGACUUCUUGUGCAACUAUCUGCAAACUUCGAUCUGCUUCUUUUGUAGGCUGUAGAAAUUAGGGGGUCUGCCAGCCAUUGGGAGAAACACUGCAAAGCCCAGCUGCCUGUUGCAGGGGGCGGGCAGGCAGAUGCCCAUGUUCCUGAGUCAGUGGUGUGUUCUGUGCCCUUCUUUACGCUGCAGUCGCCUCUCUGCUUAUCCCAGCAGGCUGUGAGCUCUUUGGGUCAGGAAACCCAGCAUGGUUCUUGGCAUAUAGCAGAUACUCAUGAAAACUUUGUUGACUGAACAAAUGAAUGAACCUCUGAAGAGGUUCUAUGGCCAUCCUUACUUAGAAUACAGUGAGUCAUGGAGCUGAAAGGACUCCAGAGUCAUCAGCUCCACCCUUCCUUGUACAGGUGAGAAAACUGCAGCCCUGAGAGAUUAAGUGACUCAGCAAAGCCUCAGAGGACAUUAGAGGCAAAGUUGGGACUGGAACUCAGCUUUCCUUCCUCACACCCUGAUGUUCCCUUUGCUGCCUACACAGCCCUUUCUAGCUCCCGCCCUGAGUGUGACAUAUCUGUAAUUCAGUCAAAAGCAGCAGCCGUGCUGUCGCCACGGGUGUCUGCCUUUGAAUCUCAAGCCAGGGAAUUGCAGCAGUGUGAAUCAGCCAAAACAGUGUCCUUACAAUUUAUUUAAAAAAUUUUUUUAAAAUUUUGGUAUCAUUAAUAUACAGUUAAAUGAGCAACAUUGUAGUUACUAGAUUCCCCCCAUUAUCAAGUCCCCACCACAUACCCCAUUACAGCCACUGUCCAUCAGCGUAGUAAGAUGCUGUAGAGUCACUACUUGUCUUCUCUAUGCUAUACUGCCUUCCCUGUGCCCCCCUCUACAUUAUGUGUGCUAAUCGUAAUGCCCCUUAUUCCCUUUAUCCCUCCCUUCCCUCCCAUCCUCCCCAGUCUCUUUCCCUUUGGUAACUGUUAGUCCAUUCUUGGGUUCUGUGAGUCUGCUGCUGUUUUGUUCCUUCAGUUCUUUGUUUUUAUACUCCACAUAUGAGUGAAAUCAUUUGGUACUUGUCUUUCUCCACCUGGCUUAUUUCACUGAGCAUAAUACCCUCUAGCUCCAUCCAUGUUGUUGCAAAUGGUAGGAUUUGUUUUCUUCUUAUGGCUGAAUAAUAUUCCAUUGUGUAUAUGUACCACCUCUUCUUUAUCCAUUCAUCUGCUGAUAGACACUUAGGUUGCUUCCAUUUCUUGGCUGUUGUAAAUAGUGCUGCAAUAAACAUAGGGGUGCAUCUGUCUUUUUCAAACUGGGCUCCUGCAUUCUUAGGGAAAAUUCCUAGUAGUGGAAUUCCUGGGUCAAAUGGUAUUUCUAUUUUUAGUCUUUUGAGGAACCUGCACACUGCUUUCCCCAAUGGUUGAACUAAUUUACAUUCCUACUAGCAGUGUAGGAGGACUCCCCUUUCUCCAUGUCCUUACAAUUUCUUAAUGAAGUCUCUCACAUUAUACACUUAAUAGUCCCCAAAGUAAGUUGCCUCAUCUGCACCAUCCAGGUUCAACUGGAAUGACUGCUUACAUCAACAGUGUCCCACUGCCUGGUUUUAAAAAAAAUCGUUUGGGGAUGUGUUUGGAAAGGCUAUGUAACAAUGAAGACCUAAAAUUUUCAUAAAAGAUGAGGAAAGGUUUUUUCCUAUAAACCUUAAAUAGGAAAGGUUUUUCCUAUAAAAUAAAAGAUUUUUUUUACUGUUUUUGAAAAGCAUAAAAAGUUUCAGAAACAAAGUCUGGGGAUCUAGAGUGUGGUAAAAUUCCCUUGUCCUGUCAAAUUUUUUACAUCUUUAGAUUGCUCCCCAUACUCCCUGCCCGUCUUGUGCUGUGUAUAGAAGGUGCCUUACGAAGGGUUUUCUGAUGGCUGUGUGGGCCUGUUGCCACCUGCCUACGCUCAUCACCACCUCUCAUCACAGAGAGGUGCCCCCCACCAUCCCAAGCCAGGGCAGGCUUUAGAAAGGAUUAGUGGCAGGUGUUGUCACUGAGGCUCUGUGUUCUGCACUCCAGGGCUGGCAUUACCUCAGCCCUGGGCUUCCAGAAAAAACAGGCCAGAGGUAGGGGCCCUGCCUUCAAGAGAUUUUCCCAGAUGACUUCCUGCAGGGCAGGUGGGGUGCAUGGGAAGCAGAUGCCUCCAGGGCACCUGCCUGCCCUCCAAGGUAUUGGUAGUGAAGAGAGGGAUGACCAAGUCAAGUCCUGGGGCUCCUCAGUGGAAAGGAAGCUGAAGGGCCUUGUCGGAUAGGGAUGCUCUGGGUCCCUUUGGGCCCUCUCUUCCAGCCCUGCUCCCUCUCCCCUCCUAUAGGGGCAGGAGGAGGCAGAGAGCCCAGGGCAAUGAGGUGUCCUGGUGGCUGGAGGGUGACUGGCAGGGGGACCCUCUCCACCAUACUCCAUGGAGUAGGAGGGCCUGCUGGGCUGCAGAUUAGGGAUUUUCUCCAGGAACUCUUUCCAACAAAAGCAAAUUGGGAUAGCUCAGGAGUUAUGCCUUUUAAUUGCUGCUGUCCAAUACCCUUGUUGCUAGGCCACUGCGCCUCCGGCCUUGGUCAGAAAGCCCAGGGCUGUUCCUUUGCCUAGAAGCCAAGAGGGAGUGACAAGGCCUUCCAGUAGCCGGGCUGUGGAACCUGCCUGGAUACUAAUGGGCGGGGGAAGCAGGAAAGGCAAAGGGACCGUGGUCAGCCUGUGGGGCACAGGGAUGAUGCUCUGAUAAGUGGGUUUAGCAUCCCUCAUGCCUCCAUCCCUACAGUGUCCCUGCCUCUGGGACGACUGGGGAAACAAGAAGAUAGGAUAACAGGUGCUUAGCCAGAGGGCGGACAGGCCAAGAGAAGAGGCCAGUGUCAGCAGAUGGCCUGAGAGGGCAGAAGGGAGGCACCAUUUUGUAUGGUCUUCCCUUCCUGCCCAAUCCUUGCCACGAUGAUGCAGGGGACAUGAGGGAGUAAGGUGCAGAUCAAAAUCUCAACAGGAUUAGGAGUGACCCUGGCUGGGGACCCUGCCAUCGACCUCCAACAGCAGGAGAAACAGGAUGAGGCUUUCCUGCAAACAGCCUCUAUGGAAGGCGCUGGAAGUGAAAAAAGAAGACUUCUGUCAGAGGAAAUGGGUGCCCCUCUGCUCUGGCCACGUGGACUUAGAAGUGAGUUAGGCUGGUCCCAGGGGGACUCCAGGGGGCUGACCUCGAGGCGUUAAUGCUCAGAAACUGGUCAGAGUCACAAACUGCAGAGUCCCAGUAUGGACUGCCAAGUGUAUCUUCUCUCUAGCAGAGAUGUGAUGGGCCUUUGCCAUCCACCAGCCCCAGUCCACCAGGAGCAGAAUCUUGAUGACGAAUCUCAGCUUCUGUGACAAGCCAGGGCUAGUGAUAAAUCUGGCAGCCCGGGUGAUGCAAAGCAGCAGGACAUGCGGAGGACACGUGUCUCGACAAUGACUGUGGCUAAAAGCUAAUCUUCUGGUCAUAGUUUAUAGGCUGUGCCCUGUGCUAAACGCUUGCUGGACUUAACUCAUUCAAUUCUCACAAUAAUCCAAUUAAUAAAUCCAUUCAAUAAAUACCUAUUGAAUACCUGCUAGGUACACAGCUCUGUAUUGGUGCUGAGGAUAAUUCAGUAAACAAGAUGAGUUUCUGUCCUCAUGAAAUUCACAGUCUAGGUAGGAACUAUUAUUCCAUUCCAGAAAGGAGGCAACUAAGGCCUCUUGAAGUUGAUUUACUCAGAACAGGGGUUUGAACCCAGGCAAACUGUUCCAGAGCGCAGGAUGCUUUUUGCUACCAAAUCCUUUUUUCUUCCCACCACCACCCAUGUGGCAGACACUACUGGUUCCCUCUCUAUAUCCAUCUCACCUCCCUUCUUACUUGCUGGAAGAAAGUCAAUUUAUUUCCAGGUACACUCUCCUACCUGCACAUUCAGGGGAGGGCCCCUUCCCAGUGCCAGGCCUAAGGGUGAAUUUUGAUAGUUUGAACCCAUUUUGGUAAUUCCCUUCCUUUGCCAGGGAUUGAUUUAGGCCCCUCUUCUCUUGACAACCCUGCCAAGAGAAGAGGGAAGGUUUCCUAGGAGGGUUUUUGGGCAGUUUUCUGGUGCUGCUCCAUUGCUGAGCUUGGAACUGUGGUGGCCGGUGGUUCCCUCAGAGGACCAGCGUCAACAUGCUGAGGACGGCAGACUCGAGAGGUGCCAACGACUUGGGUCCCUCAUGAACCGCGGGGCUCCCGACUUACUGCUGGUGGCCUUUGAAGUGGGAGCCAUCAGCCCUAUCUUAUAGAUGGCAGACCGACCUGCCCUGAGCAUGCAGCUGGAAACCUUUUUACUUGCAGAUCCAGCUUGGGCAUCGGCGAGAGCACUGUGACUUGGGUAGAAGGUUUCUUACACAACCGUCCUUGGGAGGAUGAAGGCUCUAUCAGUGGAAGAGGAUUAGUGGAUGUACACUGUGUGAAUGCCCAGCCUGGCCAGCUGCCUCUACCCCAUUCCAGAAGACCAGAAGUUUGCUCCUGGAGAGUGUAAAACAGAAGACCUCUGGACUAGAGGACACCAGACACUGCUGAGGAUUGGAACAUCAUAUGGAAGAAAGGGAAAAAAAAGCUUAUAUAUCCAAUGGUAUUGGCUUAUCUUCUACAAAAAACUCUGCAGAGGCACUCAGUUCUGUUAAGGAUUUUAGUAGUUGUCUACGAUACUGUGAACACCAGGGUGACUGAGUAGGGUUGUCUGGGAGGAAAAAGUUGGAAAACAAAAAAC
Molecule: long non-coding RNA, 6928 nt
Organism: Manis pentadactyla (Chinese pangolin)
Lineage: Eukaryota; Metazoa; Chordata; Mammalia; Pholidota; Manidae
Exons: 5
Source: RefSeq, a predicted model, not a curated record